RNAcentral lists this ribosomal RNA (408 nucleotides) under uncultured microorganism. RNAcentral's name for it is "bacterial SSU rRNA". It matches the Rfam family "Bacterial small subunit ribosomal RNA", at positions 509 to 916 of the family's 1533-position model. The record is from RNAcentral.
CAGCAGCCGCGGUAAUACGUAGGGUGCGAGCGUUACUCGGAUUUACUGGGCGUAAAGCGUGCGCAGGCGGCCCGUUAAGACAGGUGUGAAAUCCCUGGGCUCAACCUAGGAAUUGCGCUUGUGACUGGCGGGCUCGAGUACGGUAGAGGGGGGUGGAAUUCCUGGUGUAGCAGUGAAAUGCGUAGAGAUCAGGAGGAACACCGAUGGCGAAGGCAGCCCCCUGGGCCUGUACUGACGCUCAUGCACGAAAGCGUGGGGAGCAAACAGGAUUAGAUACCCGGGUAGUCCACGCCUAAACGAUGGGUACUAGCCGUUUGGUGCGCGAUAGCGCUGAGUGGCGAAGCUAACGCGUGAAGUACCCCGCCUGGGGAGUACGGCCGCAAGGUUGAAACUUAAAGGAAUUGGGGG